Molecule: ribosomal RNA, 416 nt
Filed under: uncultured bacterium
Lineage: Bacteria
Description: bacterial SSU rRNA
Rfam family: Bacterial small subunit ribosomal RNA
Source: RNAcentral
UAUUGGUCAAUGGGCUGGAGCCUGAACCAGCCAAGUCGCGUGAGGGGAGACGGUCCUACGGAUUGUAAACCUCUUUUGCCGGGGAGCAACGGGGUCCUUGCGAGGGCCCAAUGUGAGUACCAGGAGAAAACGCAUCGGCUAACUCCGUGCCAGCAGCCGCGGUAAUACGGAGGAUGCGAGCGUUAUCCGGAUUUAUUGGGUUUAAAGGGUGCGUAGGCGGGCUGUUAAGUCAGCGGUCAAAUGUCGGGGCUCAACCCCGGCCUGCCGUUGAAACUGGCGGCCUCGAGUGGGCGAGAAGUAUGCGGAAUGCGUGGUGUAGCGGUGAAAUGCAUAGAUAUCACGCAGAACCCCGAUUGCGAAGGCAGCGUACCGGCGCCCUACUGACGCUGAAGCACGAAAGCGUGGGUAUCGAACAG